Molecule: long non-coding RNA, 551 nt
Organism: Suricata suricatta (meerkat)
Lineage: Eukaryota; Metazoa; Chordata; Mammalia; Carnivora; Herpestidae
Exons: 2
Source: RefSeq, a predicted model, not a curated record
UUUCCAGUCCUGCGGCCUUCUCCCCAUCUCUACUCACCUUUCCAGGUCACUGGUUCAUGCUUCUUUCGGUCUUCAGGGAGGCCCGAGCUCAGCGGUGUUUACAAACUACCCCUGGAGGAAAGGGCUGAACCGCACUUUAAAGGCCACGGGCUCCCACAGGCUUCCGUCCUCUCUCGCGAGAUCGGACUGACACCCCUUCCCUUCUCCCCGCCCCACUCCCGGCAUCCCCCCUUUCUUCUCGGCGCCCCUCCCCUCCACCGCACACGCCCCUUCUUGCCUUCUAUCUGAUGGAGCGCCUCCGGGUCAGCCUGAGAGAAGGUGUCUCCGUUAAGCUGUGGUUUGGAAGAGGCGGAGUUUGCCUCAGAGUAUCCCCAAGCAUAAAGCGGGAAAGCAAGAGGAGUCCGUUUCAAAAAGAGAAAAGGCCUGUACGUUGGAUGGCGUUCGGUCGAAUUUUACUAAGCUAUAACUGAAGCUCUCUGAUUCCUCUCUCUCUGCCCCUCCCCCGCUCAUACUCUCCCCCUCCCUUAAAAAUAAACAUUAAAAAAUAAAUA